GAUGAACGCUGGCGGCGUGCCUAAUACAUGCAAGUCGAGCGAACAGAUGAGGAGCUUGCUCCUCUGACAUUAGCGGCGGACGGGUGAGUAACACGUGGAUAACCUACCUAUUAGCCUGGGAUAACUUCGGGAAACCGGAGCUAAUACCGGAUAAUAUAUUGAACCGCAUGGUUCAAUAGUGAAAGACGCUUUUGCUGCCACUUAUAGAUGGCUCCGCGCCUCAUUGGCUAGUUGGUAAGGUAACGGCUUACCAAGGCAACGAUCAGUAGCCGACCGGAAGGGGUGACCGGCACACCGGGACUUAGGACACGGUCCGACCUCCUACGGAAGGAGGCAGAAGGGAAUCUUGGGCAAGGGGCGAAAGCCUGACGGAGCAACGCGGCGUGAGGGAUGAAGGUCUUCGGAUCGUAAAACUCUGUUAUUGUGGAGGAACAAUUGUGUAGGUAACUAUGCACAUCGUGACGGUACCUAAUCAGAAAGCCACGGCUAACUACGUG
RNAcentral lists this ribosomal RNA (497 nucleotides) under uncultured bacterium. RNAcentral describes it as "partial 16S ribosomal RNA". It matches the Rfam family "Bacterial small subunit ribosomal RNA", at positions 28 to 507 of the family's 1533-position model. The record is from RNAcentral.